RNAcentral lists this ribosomal RNA (469 nucleotides) under uncultured bacterium. RNAcentral's name for it is "bacterial SSU rRNA". It matches the Rfam family "Bacterial small subunit ribosomal RNA", at positions 28 to 507 of the family's 1533-position model. The record is from RNAcentral.
AAUGAACGUUGGCGGCGUGGAUUAGGCAUGCAAGUCGAGCGAGAAGCCCCUUUCGGGGGGUGGAAAGCGGCGUAAGGGAGAGUAAUGUGUGGAUACUUACCUUCAGGUCUGGGAUAGCCGCGGGAAACUGCGGGUAAUACCGGAUAAUAUCCCCGGAUCAAAGGUGUGAUUCCGCCUGGGGAUGGGUCCACAUCCUAUUAGCUUGUUGGUGGGGUAAUGGCCUACCAAGGCCAAGAUGGGUAGCGGGGUGUGAGAGCAUGGCCCGUCUCACUGGGACUGAGACACUGCCCAGACACCUACGGGUGGCUGCAGUCGAGAAUCUUCCGCAAUGGGCGCAAGCCUGACGGAGCGACGCCGCGUGCGGGAUGAAGGCCUUCGGGUUGUAAACCGCUGUCAGAGGGGAGGAAAUGCAUAGGGGCACUCUCCUAUGUUUGACCCAUCCUCAGAGGAAGUCCGGGCUAAGUUCGUG